RNAcentral lists this long non-coding RNA (1733 nucleotides) under Rattus norvegicus (Norway rat). RNAcentral describes it as "long non-coding RNA NONRATT033598". The record is from RNAcentral. Lineage: Eukaryota; Metazoa; Chordata; Mammalia; Rodentia; Muridae.
AUGAAGACACUGAAAUUUUGGGGACAGAUGUACAGACAUGGAGGGCCCAAUCCUCUGCAUGAGAACUUUGUGGUUCCUCCCACUACCUACUCUAUAUGUAGGAUUUGGGAUUGGGAAUCAUUUCAGCUCUCCUCAAUUCUUGAUUUUAUGAUUCCAAUGUCUUGGCGCACCUCAGAGGGUCCACUACAUUCAGCUCCAACUGGACAGUUUCUGUGAUACUAAAAAUGAAGAAAUGUGUUCCUUGUACCUUGAGGGCAGCUUCUUAUGGAAUGUGAGGCAGGAAGUCUCGAGAUGAUGGAUUAUACUUUCCCUCAAGUGCUGUGCACUUCUCUAUCCCUGGGGAAUAGGAGUGGAAACUUGGGGAAUGUGCUUUCCUGUUAAAGGAGGAAAAUUCUCUCUGUGUAUCUACGGCAAUCACUGACUCUUAGAGAAACAAACCUCAAGGAGAAAUUAUACAUUUGGUAAGUCCCUGAAGGGUUUGCAGAGGAUUGCUAGGAAGACAUAAUCAGGUAGACGAAAUUUGUUCCCUAAAACUCUACUUAGGAAAUUUGGGAUUGGUGUCCUGGCUGUAAGCAGAUUAUGGUAUGAGGGAUGAUGUCUACAGAUGUGAUCUUAGUAUUCUUUCUGACUAUGACCAAUCUCACUGGAGACUGACUCCUCAUUUUCUGAGUCACUGAAUUGACACACACACACACACACACACACACACACACACACACACACACACACACACACACUUGUCUUACUUCUUCACCAGGUGGCUUGAUCCAGUAUGUGUUCCAAGAAUGUUCUCACAUGUGCCUUAAUGAAACAUUGAUCUUGGGAAAUAAGACAAAUUAAAGGAAAAUUUGAAAGGACAAAUUGUUGUGAAACAACUUUUACUAGCCUAGCUUAUCUUUACCUAUUCCAAGGACAGUCCUUAGCACUUCAUCUUCCUCCUGUACCCUUACAACAAUUCAGUCUCUAUUCCAGCACUGCCCAAGUUUUAACAACACCUUGUACUCUGCAUCUGGUGUGGGUAGUUGGACAGCUCAGCUGGGCAUAGAGAAAAACUUUGUGUUCUACACCAACCUCUGUGCUCCUACCCUUUUGUAGAUACUGAUUUCCUUCCUUCCUUCCUUCUAUGCCCCCAUGAUUGACAGAUUACAUACACUUCUUACUCUGGGAUUCAUAUUGACCAUUUUUUUCACAAGUGCAAGAAGACUUAAAUUGAUACUGUAGUCAGAUGAUGGUUCUCCAACAUUGACUAUGGAAGAGCUGACACCUGUACUUGAUGACUACUUCUAUGGUGCAUUUUCCAAUGGUAUUUCCAUCAAAUUAUACCUCUAGCAUAUUCUUUCUGUCUUAUUCCAUGCAUUUCACGUGCUGUUGGUACUAUUGUGGUGUGACAUGAACAACAUAACUGAUAACAAGGCAUGGUGAUUCACAGCUUAAAUCCCAGGUCAUGAGAAGAAGAAGCUGAUGGAUUUCUGUGAUUUUGAAAAUAGAUUGUUCUACUUAGUGGGAUUACCUCCCAAAACAGUGGAAGAGAUUUAUUUUAUACAUUCUUUUUUUUUCCAGAGCUGAGUACCGAACCCAGAGCCUUGAGCUUGCUAGGCAAGUGCUCUACCACUGAGCUAAAUCCUCAACACUAUUUUAUACUUUCUUACAUCUCCCUUAGCAGUACAUUGACUUUACCAUUUCCAAAAAACAACCUCUCCAAUUUUUCCAGAUUUAUUCUUUGUAUAACCUGG